Molecule: long non-coding RNA, 753 nt
Organism: Mauremys reevesii (Reeves's turtle)
Lineage: Eukaryota; Metazoa; Chordata; Testudines; Geoemydidae
Exons: 2
Source: RefSeq, a predicted model, not a curated record
GAAGGAUCUCUUCCCUGCCUGCAGACAGUGAAGGGACAACUGUAUAUGGUGAUGGGAACAAACCUGUGAAUAGACUGCACCAGUGGUUAUUAACCCCAGGGUCUUAGAGUGACUUUUUGUGAACCUAGCAGAGGAAGGAGCCAAGGGGGCCCUGCUAUGUUCUGAUACACAUGGGGGCUUGUCUGGGAUCCCAUGACAGAGCAAGUGUUUGGUAGCCCGGAGAGAGACAAGACCCUGUAAUGGCUGAUCAAGCAGCAGGAAGAGGUGUAGAAGGCAAUGCAGUUUUCAGCAAGCCCACCAGCUGGAGAGACAGGCCUUCCUCACCUGGCAGGCAAAACAGCAGAAGAGCCUGCAGGACUUUAUUCAAGAGUAGGCUGGCAUCCAAUAGCAGCUCCUGCAGAAAGUGGUACCACCUCUUCCAGAAGACUGUUUAUCUGAGGGUUACUAAAUGGGAGCUGUGGUACAUGUGGACUGGAAGGAUCAGACUUUACCAUUAUGGCUACCACACCCACCAUUCCCUGGAGCCACAGAAUCUACCAUGACACCACUGGGCCUCUGUCAUCCUGAUCCUAUAAGGCAUAUUGUCUAGACUUGCCAGAGAAGGGAAACAGAUGACAUUGACAUCAUCUUUGGCUUCAGCUAAAUCCUGAACAAUACCUGGGAUGUGAGACUUGGGAUCCUGCUCUCACCCUCUCCUUUGUCUGUCAGUUUCCCUUCUUACUUUUUCUCCCCUUUUCUAAGUCUUCCUUUUUG